GCUGGGUGCGGUGGCGCGUGCCUGUAAUCCCAGCUACUCAGGAGGCUGAGGUGGGAGAAUCGCUUGAACCCGGGAGGUGGAGGUUGCAGUGAGCUGAGAUCUCACCACUGCACUCCAGCCGGGGUGAUAGAGCGAGACUCUGUCUCAA
Molecule: unclassified non-coding RNA, 148 nt
Organism: Papio anubis (olive baboon)
Lineage: Eukaryota; Metazoa; Chordata; Mammalia; Primates; Cercopithecidae
Rfam family: Metazoan signal recognition particle RNA
About the family: The signal recognition particle (SRP) is a universally conserved ribonucleoprotein. It is involved in the co-translational targeting of proteins to membranes.
Source: Ensembl